ACGCCAGGGCAAUUACUGACCACCACGGAGGCGGAGCACAAGGUGGAGGGUGGACUCCUUCUGAAUGUUGUAGUCCGCGAGGGUGCGGCCAUCCUCCAGCUGCUUGCCAGCGAAGAUCAGACGCUGUUGGUCCGGGGGGAUGCCCUCCUUGUCCUGGAUCUUGACCUUGACAUUGUCGAUGGUGUCAGAGCUCUCAACCUCCAGAGUGAUGGUCUUCCCCGUCAGGGUCUUCACGAAGAUCUGCAUGCCUCCCCGAAGGCGGAGGACAAGGUGAAGGGUGGACUCCUUCUGGAUGUUGUAGUCAGCGAGGGUGCGACCAUCCUCCAGCUGCUUGCCAGCGAAGAUGAGACGCUGCUGGUCCGGAGGAAUGCCCUCCUUGUCCUGGAUCUUGGCCUUGACAUUGUCAAUGGUGUCGGAGCUCUCAACCUC
Molecule: ribosomal RNA, 429 nt
Filed under: Triticum aestivum (bread wheat)
Lineage: Eukaryota; Viridiplantae; Streptophyta; Magnoliopsida; Poales; Poaceae
Description: partial small subunit ribosomal RNA
Source: RNAcentral